Molecule: ribosomal RNA, 493 nt
Filed under: uncultured bacterium
Lineage: Bacteria
Description: partial 16S ribosomal RNA
Rfam family: Bacterial small subunit ribosomal RNA
Source: RNAcentral
AUUGAACGCUGGCGGCAUGCCUUACACAUGCAAGUCGAACGGUAACAGGUUAAGCUGACGAGUGGCGAACGGGUGAGUAAUAUAUCGGAACGUGCCCAGUCGUGGGGGAUAACGUAGCGAAAGCUACGCUAAUACCGCAUACGAUAUACGGCUGAAAGCGGGGGAUCGCAAGACCCCGCGCGAUUGGAGCGGCCGAUAUCAGAUUAGGUUGUUGGUGAGGUAAAAGCUCACCAAGCCUGCGAUCUGUAGCUGGUCUGAGAGGACGACCAGCCACACUGGAACUGAGACACGGUCCAGACUCCUACGGGAGGCAGCAGUGGGGAAUUUUGGACAAUGGACGCAAGUCUGAUCCAGCAAUGCCGCGUGCAGGACGAAGGCCUUCGGGUUGUAAACUGCUUUUGUACGGAACGAAACGGUGAGCUCUAAUACAGUUUGCUAAUGACGGUACCGUAAGAAUAAGCACCGGCUAACUACGUGCCAGCAGCCGCGGUAA